CGGCGACCGGCGCACGGGUGAGUAACGCGUAUAAACCUUACCUAUCAGGGAGGGGACGACCGGCAAGUCGGACUAAUACCGCAUAAAGCAGGGAUCCCGCAUGGGAAUAUUUGCUAAAGAUUCAUCGUUGAUAGAUAGGCAUGCGUUCCAUUAGGCAGUUGGCGGGGUAACGGCCCACCAAACCGACGAUGGAUAGGGGUUCUGAGAGGAAGGUCCCCCACAUUGGUACUGAGACACGGACCAA
RNAcentral lists this ribosomal RNA (244 nucleotides) under uncultured bacterium. Its description in RNAcentral is "partial 16S ribosomal RNA". It matches the Rfam family "Bacterial small subunit ribosomal RNA", at positions 89 to 334 of the family's 1533-position model. The record is from RNAcentral.